GACGAACGCUGGCGGCGUGCUUAACACAUGCAAGUCGAACGGAAAGGCCCUGCUUUUGUGGGGUGCUCGAGUGGCGAACGGGUGAGUAACACGUGAGUAACCUGCCCUUGACUUUGGGAUAACUUCAGGAAACUGGGGCUAAUACCGGAUAGGAGCUCCUGCUGCAUGGUGGGGGUUGGAAAGUUUCGGCGGUUGGGGAUGGACUCGCGGCUUAUCAGCUUGUUGGUGGGGUAGUGGCUUACCAAGGCUUUGACGGGUAGCCGGCCUGAGAGGGUGACCGGCCACAUUGGGACUGAGAUACGGCCCAGACUCCUACGGGAGGCAGCAGUGGGGAAUAUUGCACAACGGGCGGAAGCCUGAUGCAGCAACGCCGCGUGCGGGAUGACGGCCUUCGGGUUGUAAACCGCUUUCGCCUGUGACGAAGCGUGAGUGACGGUAACGGGUAAAGAAGCACCGGCUAACUACGUG
RNAcentral lists this ribosomal RNA (468 nucleotides) under uncultured bacterium. RNAcentral describes it as "partial 16S ribosomal RNA". It matches the Rfam family "Bacterial small subunit ribosomal RNA", at positions 28 to 507 of the family's 1533-position model. The record is from RNAcentral.